Molecule: ribosomal RNA, 307 nt
Filed under: uncultured bacterium
Lineage: Bacteria
Description: partial 16S ribosomal RNA
Rfam family: Bacterial small subunit ribosomal RNA
Source: RNAcentral
AGACAGCAGUAGCCGCGGUAAUACGUAGGGUGCAAGCGUUAAUCGGAAUUACUGGGCGUAAAGCGUGCGCAGGCGGUUCGUUAAGACAGAUGUGAAAUCCCCGGGCUUAACCUGGGAACUGCAUUUGUGACUGGCGAGCUAGAGUAUGGCAGAGGGGGGUAGAAUUCCACGUGUAGCAGUGAAAUGCGUAGAGAUGUGGAGGAAUACCGAUGGCGAAGGCAGCCCCCUGGGCCAAUACUGACGCUCAUGCACGAAAGCGUGGGGAGCAAACAGGAUUAGAUACCCCAGUAGUCCCUGUCUCUUAUAC